This is an RNA transcript of Populus euphratica (Euphrates poplar), 1850 nucleotides long. RefSeq lists it as uncharacterized. Lineage: Eukaryota; Viridiplantae; Streptophyta; Magnoliopsida; Malpighiales; Salicaceae. The record is from RefSeq and is a predicted model, not a curated record. The transcript has 8 exons.
UGUCAUGUGGGAAUCGAUAAGCGUAUAAAAAUUUAUCCUUUAUUUACAAAGACCCACAAAGUCACAUGCUCGUUUUAUCAUCAGAUGAGCUCCAUCUGUAAUCGGAAAAAUCAUCUAAAGCCCGGCAAACUAUAUCAAAUCUGCAGUGAAGCCUCCUCUAAGCUUCAACAAGAUGCUGUCAAAUAAUAAUAACGGCCAUGCCAAAUUGACAGGAGUUCUUGCUGCUUCCUUAGUGGGUGUCGUCGGUGCCGCUGCUGCGACUCACCACUAUUGGAGAAAACCAAAGGCUAAAAGAGACCACCACAUCAUUCCAGGCUUAGUCAGGACAGAAUCUGGCCGUUUGGGAAACCUUGAAAGAUUCUCCGAUUAUGUUGCUAGGCAGAUGGGAUUUGCAGAUGCAGAUGAGUGUCCACGGCUAUGCAAACUGGCUUAUGAUUAUCUGAAAAGAUCUGAAGGGUGUGAGAAGAACAUCUAUGAUUUUUUUGCUAAUCUACCUGAGUUUGAAUCUCUGUACGUGAAGCUGAUGGAGGAAUUUGAAAAAUGCAUCCUCACUUAUUUUGCGUUUCAUUGGAGCAGAGCAUCCCUGUUUAUCAGUCAGGUUAUGGAUGUUGAAUCCGUGAGGAAACCAAAGCUCAAAGGGUUUGACGACAAUGACUUAAAACAAAGAUUUGAGAGGGUGACCGAGAACUUGAAGGUUACAAGGGCAUUUUCUACUCGAGUUGAGGAAUUGAAAGCAAUCGGCGCCCAAGGGGGAUCAGAUUGUACGGAGGUCAUGGUGCCGGUGGCGCUUAGCGAGAGAAGUCCGGUGCUGCUACUUAUGGGUGGUGGAAUGGGGGCUGGCAAGAGCACUGUCACCAAAGAUAUUCUCAAAGAACCGUUCUGGUCAGGAGCAAGGGCAAAGGCGGUUGUGAUAGAUGCUGAUGCAUUCAAAGAGCCGGAUGUCAUCUACCAAUCAUCAACAGAUGCGGCAUCAUCACUCCUCGUAACUGCCCUGAAUGAAGGACGGGAUGUAAUCAUGGAUGGCACCCUUUCAUGGGAGCCUCUCGUGGAGCAAACAAUUGCCAUGGCUCGUAAUGUGCACAAAUGUCGUUACCGAAUGGGACCAGGGUACCAGGUUGCUGGGGAUGGGACCGUUGAUGAAAAUUACUGGGAAAUGGUAGAGCAAGAGGAAGAAGACCAGCGAUUAAACAACGAGAAAGGAGAAUUAACUGGCAGGAAACCAUACAGAAUAGAGCUGGUUGGAGUUGUCUGUGACCCUUAUCUAGCUGUUGUUAGAGGCAUCAGGAGAGCCAUAACGACAAGAGGGGUAGUGAGGGUGGAUUGCCAGUUAAAGUCCCACAAGAGAUUCGCCAGCGCCUUUGAAAGAUACUGCCACCUUGUUGAUAAUGCCAGGCUUUAUUGCACCAGUUCAGUCGGAGCACCGCCGAGUGUAAGUACGACUCUUCCAUCAGGUUUAUCCGCCAUGCAUCCCGUGCUUCCUAUCUUCUUUCUCGUAGUGACUGGCGCGCACAAAUGCACACCGCCUCAAAUUUCAUGACAGUGUUUGUCAAGCAUGAACGUGGCCCCUCUGAAACAACACAUCGAUUAGGGAAGAGAGUCUGCCAACCACCCUUGAAUUUUUGUCGGGCCACCAUGCUAUUUGAGGCGCUAUCUAUCGAUUGACAUGCCAAGUGUCGAAUUCUAUUGAAAUAAAUUAGACCCAUCACCCAGCUGUCAGUUCUAAGAAACUAGUAAGUUUGAGCUUGGAAGCCGAGGUUGCGGUCCCCUCGAUGCACACUAUUCUGUAUCUCGAGGCCUCGACAAGAAAUGGACCUCGAACACGCUGCAUUAUCUGAUAGCAUGGAAAGAUG